GAAGUCCCGAGAGGCGAGAGCUCUGGGUACCAAGGCGGUGGGAGGGUCGCGUGUGGCCGUGAGCGCCGCGGGAUGUCUCUACCGCUUACCUGUCGCGCCGAGGUAGAGCCGCAGCCACGCCGCCGUGCCGCUCGCGGGUUGUCAGACGGGACGUCCCGGAGGGCGGGGCAGGGGCGGGCGCCCUUGGCCGCUGAGGCGCGUCCGACCCGCCCUCUCCGCCGCCAGGUGCAGCCGGCCGCCCGCCGCGCCCCGGGUCGCCGCUGCCAGCCCCGGAACGCCCUGCGGGUCUUAGGGCCGUCUGGAGGCCGGUGGCCGGGUGAGAAGUGCGGGUCCCGCCACUCCUAGGAGCCGAUCUUCUCCAGAUCCAGCCCACCCCGGGGUGCCAGUUUCUGCGGCCAAGCUCUCAGCGCCGAGGAAAGACUGGAGGGUCCUAGCUACCCGAAAGACUACCGGCAUUAGCCGAGCCGCCGGCGGCGCGGAGAGGCGUGGAUGCAAGCGCAGAGCGCCAGCAGUAACAGUAGUGAAUCGUGUGCCACGAACGGUGCUAAGGACGUCACGUGCCAGGUCUCAGCUAAACUACUGCCAGUACCUAUUAUCCCCAGUAUACCUGGAAGGUGGUUGAGCACACAGCUGGAGAGUGUUUCUUAAAGUGCGGUCCUGGGACCAACAGCAUCAGCAUCACCUGGGGAGUUGCUAGAAAUGGGUAGGAUUGAGGUAUUCCGAAGGAGAAGAUAUUUUGCCAGAAGGCCAGAAGUAUUCCAGUGAUGGAGUCUGGAGGGACGAGACCAGCAGAGCAUGGAGAAGAGCUUAUUCAGAUGAUUGGUUCCCAAAGGAGGAGAAAGGGAGUGUCCACUCUUGACCUAGUCACCCAUCACCCAUAAUUCUAAGCAGUUGAGUAACCACCACCAACCCCCACAAUCCCUUCCUUUCACACUGGAGAUUCUUUCUGGGGUUUAAAUUCCUGAAGAGAGACUUCUUGUAGUUUACCUUGAUCACCCAUUUUAGCCCCUUUAUAGACCUUCAGGGCUCAUCUCUUACUGCUUUAGCUGCCACCAUUCUUGUCACUUGCCUUAUUCAACAGCUCUCCUUCUGUGGUGGUUUGAAGCUGUUAUGCACCCCCAGAAAAGGCAAUGUUCUUUUAAUCCAUUCCUGUUGGUGGGACAUUUUGGUUAGGUUAUUCACUUGAGAUGUGACCUGCCCCGUUUUACUGGAGCCCUUUAUGAGAGGAUAAAAGACAUUAAAAGCUGGGAGAGCUUAGACGAAAAGCCCCAGAGAAGCUAAGAGAGGACCCACAGAAGUUCAGAGAGGAAGCCACGGGAACCAGAAGCUGAAGGCAAUGAAACCUGGGAGCAAAGGACCAGUAGAUGCUGGCCAUGUGCCUUCCCAUG
Molecule: long non-coding RNA, 1388 nt
Organism: Choloepus didactylus (southern two-toed sloth)
Lineage: Eukaryota; Metazoa; Chordata; Mammalia; Pilosa; Megalonychidae
Exons: 3
Source: RefSeq, a predicted model, not a curated record